CUUCCUCUGGCUCCGCCGACCGACUGUCCCACUGCCAAACUCCUAAUUCGUACUUCCGCUACCGCCAUCUCUGCUAGCUCCACCUCCACCACUUCCGCUAGCUCCUCAGCAACCUCCAAGUUUUCUCUGCUGACUGUCCUCAGUCCUAACUCUGUCGCAAGUGCAGCUCCAAUGAGCGGGGGCACUCGGGUCCCUUACCUGAGAAUCGAAAACACCAGAUUCAUCCCAGUAUGCACGGAGCCAGAAAGGCAACCCUCUUGAAACCAUGGGAAGUCCCAAACUCCCAAUUCCCCGUUACUGCCAUAUCUGCUUCUACUAGCUCCAUCUCCAGUUUCUCCACCGCUUCCACCAGCUCCACAUAGGCAACCCAACCAGCUUUUCGGAACCCAACCACUUCAACGAGGCUGACUGACGAACCCAACCAGCUUCUCAGUGAAUUCCUAUCUCCGGAUUUUUUCUAAACUUUUCCAGCGAGCAAGUGCGCAACCCACCGAGCUUUUGUGCUUUGAGCGUGCAAUGCGCAGAUUGGUAAGCUCUUUUUCC
RNAcentral lists this long non-coding RNA (543 nucleotides) under Coffea arabica (coffee). Its description in RNAcentral is "long non-coding RNA (CARA_LNC004591)". The record is from RNAcentral. Lineage: Eukaryota; Viridiplantae; Streptophyta; Magnoliopsida; Gentianales; Rubiaceae.